CCAAUAGCGUAUAUUAAAGUUGUUGCAGUUAAAAAGCUCGUAGUUGAAUUUCGGGAUCAAUUUAUUGGUCGUGCUAUUGUACGUACUGGUAUUAUUGAUUCCUACCUUCUGACGAACCACGAUGUCAUUAAUUUGGUGUCAUGGGGAAUCAGGACUGUUACUUUGAAAAAAUUAGAGUGUUUAAAGCAGGCUCACGCUUGAAUACAUUAGCAUGGAAUAACGAAAUAGGACGUUUGAUUCUAUUUUGUUGGUUUCUAGGAUCGACGUAAUGAUUAAUAGGGAUAGUUGGGGGCAUUAGUAUUCAAUUGUCAGAGGUGAAAUUCUUGGAUUUAUUGAAGACUAACUACUGCGAAAGCAUUUGCCAAGGAUGUUUUCAUUAAUCAAGAACGAAAGUUAGGGGAUCGAAGACGAUCAGAUACCGUCGUAGUCUUAACCAUAAACUAUGCCGACUAGGGAUCGGAUGAUGUUAAUUUUUUAAUGACUCAUUCGGCGCCUUACG
Molecule: ribosomal RNA, 499 nt
Filed under: uncultured Glomeromycotina
Lineage: Eukaryota; Fungi; Glomeromycota
Description: partial small subunit ribosomal RNA
Rfam family: Eukaryotic small subunit ribosomal RNA
Source: RNAcentral